AUGAGGGAGGCUGCACAGUAUGGACCUUGGUCAGAUCUUCCACCCGAACUCCUGGGCCUUGUCUUCAAGUGCCUCCCUUCCCUAGCUGACCGUGUUCGUCUGAGGGCAGUCUGUCACCCAUAGCGCUGUAACAGUCUGCUGCAACCGCUUCCUCUUCCAUUCCCAUGGAUCACCCUCCCUGAUAGAACCUUCCUCCGCAUCCCAGGAGGCGAGGUUCACCGCAUGCAUGUACCAGAUGGUGCUAGUUGCGGUGGCUCCAUCUUAUUUCUCAUGAGCAGUGAUGAUGCAUGUAGAUUGAUGAACCCUUUCUCCAAGACCACGUUGGAGCUUCCUAAUCUGGUCACAGUUUGACAGCGUGAGGGACGCUACGAAUCUGAUCCUAAACAACUUCGGUACAAGUUGGCGGCGCAGUCGCCCCUCCACUUAUCACCUGAUUCCCUCGUUGCGGCAUUGAUCAUGGAUGGUGGUAAUACUGUUACACUUUGCAUUAGCCAGCCAUCGGCUGCCACUUACCAGUUACUAGGCAAUUGGCAGCCAUUACACCACCCAUUUGAUGUUGCAUUUGUUGAUGGGAAGUUGUAUGUGGUGUGUGUCUCUGACAAGCUCUUCAUCGUAGAGUUUUGCAAGAACCUUGUUGAAUGUGGUGGUAGGCUCUUGAUGGUUCACCGAUUUAUUCAUUUACUGGGCCCAGGCCCUCCAACUGGUGACAGUAUCUAUGAAAAAACUCUGACUGCUGGGUUUGUUGUCCACGAGGCGGACUUGCACUCUGAGCCUUGCUAAUGGAGAAAGAUCAGUGAGUUAGGUGGACAUGCUCUCUUUGUUGGCGAGCAUGGCUCCAUGUCUUUGCCCGCUAGAGAAUGCAGCGGAUGCCAAGAGGACUGCAUCUACUUCAUUUUUGACUAUCACCCUCUAAGCAUUUCUCCGAAUCCAUUCAGCGACUGUGGUGUGUACAACAUGAGAAAUGGGAGGAUCACGUCAUUGAUGUCUCAGACUGCAGCACAUGCACAUCGUGCCGGCAAGUGGUGUCCGACGUGGGUUUUCCAUGCUGGAGCUCUGUGA
Molecule: ribosomal RNA, 1059 nt
Filed under: Triticum aestivum (bread wheat)
Lineage: Eukaryota; Viridiplantae; Streptophyta; Magnoliopsida; Poales; Poaceae
Description: partial small subunit ribosomal RNA
Source: RNAcentral